RNAcentral lists this ribosomal RNA (430 nucleotides) under Klebsiella quasipneumoniae. RNAcentral's name for it is "bacterial LSU rRNA". It matches the Rfam family "Bacterial large subunit ribosomal RNA", at positions 590 to 1019 of the family's 2925-position model. The record is from RNAcentral. Lineage: Bacteria; Pseudomonadati; Pseudomonadota; Gammaproteobacteria; Enterobacterales; Enterobacteriaceae.
GGUGUGACUGCGUACCUUUUGUAUAAUGGGUCAGCGACUUAUAUUCUGUAGCAAGGUUAACCGUAUAGGGGAGCCGCAGGGAAACCGAGUCUUAACUGGGCGUUAAGUUGCAGGGUAUAGACCCGAAACCCGGUGAUCUAGCCAUGGGCAGGUUGAAGGUUGGGUAACACUAACUGGAGGACCGAACCGACUAAUGUUGAAAAAUUAGCGGAUGACUUGUGGCUGGGGGUGAAAGGCCAAUCAAACCGGGAGAUAGCUGGUUCUCCCCGAAAGCUAUUUAGGUAGCGCCUCGUGAAUUCAUCUUCGGGGGUAGAGCACUGUUUCGGCUAGGGGGGUCAUCCCGACUUACCAACCCGAUGCAAACUACGAAUACCGAAGAAUGUUAUCACGGGAGACACACGGCGGGUGCUAACGUCCGUCGUGAAGAGGG